UACGAAGGGGGCUAGCGUUGCUCGGAAUCACUGGGCGUAAAGGGUGCGUAGGCGGGCCGCCAGGUCCGGGGUGAAAGCCUCCAGCUCAACUGGAGAAGUGCCUUGGAUACCGGCGGCCUCGAGGGAGGUAGGGGCGUGCGGAACUUCGGGUGGAGCGGUGAAAUGCGUAGAUAUCCGAAGGAACACCGGUGGCGAAAGCGGCGCGCUGGAUCUCUUCUGACGCUGAGGCGCGAAAGCCAGGGGAGCAAACGGG
Molecule: ribosomal RNA, 253 nt
Filed under: uncultured bacterium
Lineage: Bacteria
Description: partial 16S ribosomal RNA
Rfam family: Bacterial small subunit ribosomal RNA
Source: RNAcentral